GCAGUCUGCAACUCGACUGCAUGAAGCUGGAAUCGCUAGUAAUCGCGGAUCAGAAUGCCGCGGUGAAUACGUUCCCGGGUCUUGUACACACCGCCCGUCACACCAUGGGAGUCAGUAACGCCCGAAGUCAGUGACCCAACCGGAACAGGAGGGAGCUGCCGAAGGUGGGACCGAUAACUGGGGUGAAGUCGUAACAAGGUACC
RNAcentral lists this ribosomal RNA (203 nucleotides) under uncultured bacterium. RNAcentral describes it as "partial 16S ribosomal RNA". It matches the Rfam family "Bacterial small subunit ribosomal RNA", at positions 1300 to 1500 of the family's 1533-position model. The record is from RNAcentral.